CAGCAGCCACGGUAAUACGGAGGGUGCAAGCGUUAUCCGGAUUCACUGGGUUUAAAGGGUGCGUAGGCGGAUCUGUAAGUCAGUGGUGAAAUCUCCAGGCUUAACCUGGAAACUGCCGUUGAUACUAUAGGUCUUGAAUUUUGUGGAGGUUAGCGGAAUAUGUCAUGUAGCGGUGAAAUGCAUAGAUAUGACAUAGAACACCAAUUGCGAAGGCAGCUGGCUACACAACUAUUGACGCUGAGGCACGAAAGCGUGGGGAUCAAACAGGAUUAGAUACCCCCGUAGUCCCUGUCUCUUAUAC
RNAcentral lists this ribosomal RNA (301 nucleotides) under uncultured bacterium. RNAcentral describes it as "partial 16S ribosomal RNA". It matches the Rfam family "Bacterial small subunit ribosomal RNA", at positions 509 to 807 of the family's 1533-position model. The record is from RNAcentral.